WCGCUUGGGAUUCAAAGCMUGCGAGUCGCGAGUCUUAGGGACUCGGCGUACCGCUCAGUAACACGUGGGUAACCUGCCCUAUGCUGGGGGAUAACCUCGGGAAACUGAGAAUAAUACCCCAUAGUUCACCACGCCUGGAACGGUGGGUGGACCAAAGCUCCGGCGGCAUAGGAUGGGCCUGCGGCGUAUCAGGUUGUAGGGGGUGUAAUGUACCCUCUAGCCCUCUACGCGUACGGGUGUUGAGAGACAUCGCCCGGAGAUGGAUUCUGAGACACGAAUCAAGACCCUACGGGGUGCAGCAGGCGCGAAAACUUGGCAAUGCGAGAAAUCGUGACCAGGGAACUCCAAGUGCAUCGGGUAAGACCGAUGCUUUUCUUGACUCUUCAAAGGUCUUGGAAUAAGGGGUGGGUAAGGACGGUGCCAGCCGCCGCGGUAAUACCGGCGCCCCAAGUGGUAGUCGCUUUUAUUGGGCCUAAAACGUCCGUAGCCGGUCUGGUACAUUCGUGGGUAAAUCAACCAGCUCAACUGGUUGAAUUCUGCGAGCACGGCCAGACUUGGGACCGGGAGAGGUGUGGGGUAC
Molecule: ribosomal RNA, 580 nt
Filed under: uncultured archaeon
Lineage: Archaea
Description: bacterial SSU rRNA
Rfam family: Archaeal small subunit ribosomal RNA
Source: RNAcentral